RNAcentral lists this ribosomal RNA (112 nucleotides) under Bacillus amyloliquefaciens. Lineage: Bacteria; Bacillati; Bacillota; Bacilli; Caryophanales; Bacillaceae. The record is from RNAcentral.
AGCUGUGUAUUAGGGACAGGGUCACACCCGUUCCCAUGCCGAACACGGAAGUUAAGCUCUUCAGCGCCGAUGGUAGUCGGGGGUUUCCCCCUGUGAGAGUAGGACGCCGCCA